RNAcentral lists this ribosomal RNA (497 nucleotides) under uncultured bacterium. Its description in RNAcentral is "partial 16S ribosomal RNA". It matches the Rfam family "Bacterial small subunit ribosomal RNA", at positions 28 to 507 of the family's 1533-position model. The record is from RNAcentral.
GAUGAACGCUGGCGGCGUGCCUAGUACAUGCAAGUCGAGCGAACAGAUGAGGAGCUUGCUCCUCUGACGUUAGCGGCGGACGGGUGAGUAACACGUGGAUAACCUACCUAUAAGACUGGGAUAACUUCGGGAAACCGGAGCUAAUACCGGAUAAUAUAUUGAACCGCAUGGUUCAAUAGUUAAAGACGGUUUUGCUGUCACUUAUAGAUGGAUCCGCGCCGCAUUAGCUAGUUGGUAAGGUAACGGCUUACCAAGGCAACGAUGCGUAGCCGACCUGAGAGGGUGAUCGGCCACACUGGAACUGAGACACGGUCCAGACUCCUACGGGAGGCAGCAGUAGGGAAUCUUCCGCGAUGGGCGAAAGCCUGACGGAGCAACGCCGCGUGAGUGAUGAAGGUCUUCGGAUCGUAAAACUCUGUUAUUAGGGAAGAACAAAUGUGUUAGUAACUAUGCACGUCUUGACGGUACCUAAUCAGAAAGCCACGGCUAACUACGUG